UACGGGGGGUGCGAGCGUUGUCCGGAAUCACUGGGCGUAAAGGGCGCGUAGGUGGUUUUGUAAGUCUGUGGUGAAAGCCCGGGGCUCAACCCCGGGUCUGCCGUGGAUACUGUGAGACUUGAGUACUGUAGAGGCAGGUAGAAUAUCGGGUGUAGCGGUGGAAUGCGUAGGGAUCCGAUAGAAGACCGGUGGCGAAGGCGGCCUGCUGGGCAGUAACUGACACUGAGGCGCGACAGCGUGGGGAGCAAACAGG
This 253-nucleotide ribosomal RNA is filed under the name uncultured bacterium. Its description in RNAcentral is "partial 16S ribosomal RNA". It matches the Rfam family "Bacterial small subunit ribosomal RNA", at positions 524 to 776 of the family's 1533-position model. The record is from RNAcentral.